This 125-nucleotide small nucleolar RNA is filed under the name Mus caroli (Ryukyu mouse). Its description in RNAcentral is "predicted gene, 25658 (MGP_CAROLIEiJ_G0035811.1)". It matches the Rfam family "Small nucleolar RNA SNORA17". Rfam says of the family: snoRNA ACA 17 belongs to the H/ACA family of snoRNAs and is predicted to guide pseudouridylation of the 28S rRNA at positions U4659 and U4598. It shares the same host gene together with ACA43. Lineage: Eukaryota; Metazoa; Chordata; Mammalia; Rodentia; Muridae. The record is from RNAcentral.
ACCCUAGAGGCAUUACAGGUAUGGUUACUGGGUUACUGUGUCACAUGUUUGUCAAUAGGUGCCAUAGAGGAGACUAUGCACAGUGUUCUGACUUAUGAACAUCUGAUGGCUAAUAGCCUACCAUU